UUGCUGUAAUCGUUUGCUACUUGUGAUCCCAUUUGAGAUAUUUAAUGCUGAUCUGUGCUUUGCCUUGGCUUUCCGCUCUGUGUUUUCCUGUCUUGCUUUUAUGUUUUUGUUGUCCUGCAAUCCCUCAUUUCUUCGUUUGCUUUGUGUGUUUUUUUUCUCACUCAUGCUUGUUGUUGUCUGCACUUGGUUUUGAUUGCAAAAAAAAAAAAAAAACAGAACAAAACACACAAAAAAACAAAACAAAACCCAAACUGUGGGGCCCAAAAAUCUGCGUGGCCUUGGUGACCUGCACUCUGCGCCCGCCCCCGCUUGGCUGCUGUGGUUGCGGCUUCGCUGCUGGGCUUGGGCUGUGCUGUGGGGGAAGCGCUCACCCCAGCACCGGCUUCUUGCCCGCAGGUUUCAUUUCUGUGAGACGUGUUUCAGUGCAAUCCAAGGGGAGAGCGUUUCUUUGGGGGAUGACCCUUCCCAGCCUCAAACUACGAUAAAUAAAGAACAAUUUUCCAAAAGAAAAAAUGACACACUGGAUCCUGAACUGUUUGUUGAAUGUAAAGAGUGUGGCAGGAAGAUGCAUCAGAUUUGUGUACUUCAUCAUGAGGUCAUCUGGCCCUCUGGGUGAGGAAUAUACCAAUAUUUUCUCUAGGAUUUUAUCACAGAGUUUUUACAGAUUGCUCUGGAGAUUGGGAAAAGUUCAUUAAAAUCCAAUUUUAAAACAUGAAAUAACCUAGAAUUCAAAAAUAAAAAUAGAGGGAAGUGGACUUGGCCCAGAGGAUAGAGCGUCCGUCUACCACAUGGGAGGUCUGUGGUUCAAACCCCGGGCCUCCUUGACCCGUGUGGAGCUGGCCCAUGCGCAGUGCUGAUGUGCACAAGGAAUGCCGUGCCACGCAGGGGUGUCCCCCACAUAGGGGAGCCCCAUGCGCAAGGAGUGCGCCCCGUAAGGAGAGCCGCCCAGCGCGAAAGAAAGUGCAGGCUGUCCAGGAAUGGUGCUGCACACAUGGAGAGCUGACACAAGAUGAUGCAACAUCAAAGAGAUACGGAUUCCCGUGCAAAUGGACACAGAGAACAGACAACUGGGGCAGGGGAAGGGAUCUUUAAAAAAAAAAACAACAAAUAAAAAUAGACCUCUCUCCAGGAUUGAACCCCAUAUGUUGGAGGCAGGUGCUCAACCACCGAGCUGUACCUGCUCCCCUACCCCUUUCUCUUAUUGUUUUAACCUGUACAUGUCUUGUAUUAUGCUUUUCCCCCCACUUAAUGGCAUAUCAUUUUGGCUUUUUCCACAAGUUUUCUUAGUUUUGAAUGAAUAUAUGACUGCAUGGACAUGUAAUUAUAAACAGACAUUUUGAUGUUUUUGUGGGUUUUUUUCCUAAUUUUACAGUUUUACUAUAAAAGUGAAAUGCUUUUGAAAGAUUUAACA
This 1411-nucleotide long non-coding RNA is filed under the name Dasypus novemcinctus (nine-banded armadillo). RNAcentral describes it as "lncRNA (ENSDNOG00000051492.1)". The record is from RNAcentral. Lineage: Eukaryota; Metazoa; Chordata; Mammalia; Cingulata; Dasypodidae.